AGAAAUUGUUCACAUUUUUUACGACACUUGAGGGGUUGUACGACAAAGGCAUCGUCGGGAAUGGUGAAAGAGGAAUCACCCUCGAUAACCACGACCGACUAGCUAUACUAUAGAGAUAUCAUCAGGAGUACUUAGCGAGGUGUCACCCUCGGUACCCGAUAGUAUCUGUGUAGCGCCGUACAACUAAGGGGGUGCAUGUGUUGUGUCGGGUCUGGCUCGUCGAUCAGGGAUCGAUAUUUGAGAACAAGCGGAGCAACUGAACUACGGGGUCAGAGGGGAUGACUGCUCCACCUAUACUAAGCAUAUUAAAGGUACAUGACUGAAAGUAGCAGUUCAUCAAAAAUAGGCUAUGCAUCAGAUAUAGGAGCUAACUACAACAGUAGCAAAAUACUAAUGCAAGCAGUAGGAAGAAAGACAUAGGCGAUAUAUGAAUAAUCAAAGGGGGGUUUGCUUGCCUUGUUGCUCUGUGGCAAAACAGAUCCUCGACCGGGAAGUAGUCGAUCACCGGAUCAUCAUCGGUCUCGGGGCCUACCGGAACGGAAGACGAAGGGGAAACACAAUAAAUA
Molecule: long non-coding RNA, 566 nt
Filed under: Hordeum vulgare
Lineage: Eukaryota; Viridiplantae; Streptophyta; Magnoliopsida; Poales; Poaceae
Description: long non-coding RNA (HVUL_LNC006501)
Source: RNAcentral